Molecule: small RNA, 697 nt
Filed under: Pongo abelii (Sumatran orangutan)
Lineage: Eukaryota; Metazoa; Chordata; Mammalia; Primates; Hominidae
Description: processed transcript
Source: RNAcentral
GCACGCGUAGAACGCGAGCGCUCGGCAAAGCUCGGCUCGGAAGAGUCCAAGCGUGAGGGGAGAGGACUGUGGAUUCAGAUACUGUUUUUCUCCCGAAAUAGGAAAUUGGCUUAUUUUUUUUCCCCUCGACAGCAUCUUAAUUUAAAAUAUGACACUUGACCUACGGCCCUGCAGGGAGCGGUUAAGAGGGUCACCAACCAGUUUCUCAAACAAUUAGGUCUGCAUCCUAACUGGCAAUUCGUCGAUGUAUAUGGAAUGGAUCCUGAACUCCUUAGCAUGGUACCAAGACCAGUCUGCGCAGUCUUACUUCUCUUUCCUAUUACAGAAAAGUAUGAAGUAUUCAGAACAGAAGAGGAAGAAAAAAUAAAAUCUCAGGGACAAGAUGUUACAUCAUCAGUAUAUUUCAUGAAGCAAACAAUCAGCAAUGCCUGUGGAACAAUUGGACUGAUUCAUGCUAUUGCAAACAAUAAAGACAAGAUGCACUUUGAAUCUGGGUCAACCUUGAAAAAAUUCCUGGAGGAAUCUGUGUCAAUGAGCCCUGAAGAACGAGCCAGAUACCUGGAGAACUAUGAUGCCAUCCGAGUUACUCAUGAGACCAGUGCCCAUGAAGGUCAGACUGAGGCGCCAAGUAUAGAUGAAAAAGUAGAUCUUCAUUUUAUUGCAUUAGUUCAUGUAGAUGGGCAUCUCUAUGAAUUAG